Molecule: ribosomal RNA, 332 nt
Filed under: uncultured bacterium
Lineage: Bacteria
Description: bacterial SSU rRNA
Rfam family: Bacterial small subunit ribosomal RNA
Source: RNAcentral
UGCGCAGGCGGUUAUAUAAGUCAGAUGUGAAAUCCCCGGGCUCAACCUGGGAACUGCAUUUGAGACUGUAUGGCUAGAGUGUGUCAGAGGGGGGUAGAAUUCCACGUGUAGCAGUGAAAUGCGUAGAUAUGUGGAGGAAUACCGAUGGCGAAGGCAGCCCCCUGGGAUAACACUGACGCUCAUGCACGAAAGCGUGGGGAGCAAACAGGAUUAGAUACCCUGGUAGUCCACGCCCUAAACGAUGUCUACUAGUUGUCGGGACUUAAUUGUCUUGGUAACGCAGCUAACGCGUGAAGUAGACCGCCUGGGGAGUACGGUCGCAAAGAUUAAAA